AUCAACUUUCGAUGGUAGGAUAGAGGCCUACCAUGGCUUCAACGGGUAACGGGGAAUAAGGGUUCGAUUCCGGAGAGGGAGCCUGAGAAACGGCUACCACAUCCAAGGAAGGCAGCAGGCGCGCAAAUUACCCAAUCCCGACACGGGGAGGUAGUGACAAUAAAUAACAAUAUAGGGCUCUUUCGGGUCUUAUAAUUGGAAUGAGUACAAUUUAAAUCCCUUAACGAGGAACAAUUGGAGGGCAAGUCUGGUGCCAGCAGCCGCGGUAAUUCCAGCUCCAAUAGCGUAUAUUAAAGUUGUUGCAGUUAAAAAGCUCGUAGUUGAACCUCAGACCUGGCCGGGCGGUCCGCUUAACGGCGUGUACUGUCUGGCUGGGCCUUACCUCUUGGUGAGCCGGCGUGCCCUUUAUUGGUGUGCGUCGGGGAACCAGGACUUUUACCUUGAGAAAAUUAGAGUGUUCAAAGCAGGCCUAUGCCCGAAUACAUUAGCAUGGAAUAAUAAAAUAGGACGUGCGGUUCUAUUUUGUUGGUUUCUAGAGUCGCCGUAAUGAUUAAUAGGGAUAGUUGGGGGCAUUAGUAUUCAAUUGUCAGAGGUGAAAUUCUUGGAUUUAUUGAAGACUAACUACUGCGAAAGCAUUUGCCAAGGAUGUUUUCAUUAAUCAAGAACGAAAGUUAGGGGAUCGAAGACGAUCAGAUACCGUCGUAGUCUUAACCAUAAACUAUGCCGACUAGGGAUCGGAUGAUGUUAAUUUUUUAAUGACUCAUUCGGCGCCUUACGGGAAACCAAAGUGUUUGGGUUC
Molecule: small RNA, 799 nt
Filed under: uncultured Paraglomus
Lineage: Eukaryota; Fungi; Glomeromycota; Glomeromycetes; Paraglomerales; Paraglomeraceae
Description: SSU rRNA
Rfam family: Eukaryotic small subunit ribosomal RNA
Source: RNAcentral